This 730-nucleotide ribosomal RNA is filed under the name Saprospiraceae bacterium. RNAcentral's name for it is "partial 23S ribosomal RNA". It matches the Rfam family "Bacterial large subunit ribosomal RNA", at positions 2170 to 2925 of the family's 2925-position model. The record is from RNAcentral. Lineage: Bacteria; Pseudomonadati; Bacteroidota; Saprospiria; Saprospirales; Saprospiraceae.
GCUAGUCUUGAUGGAGUCGUCGUUGAAAUACCACCCUUCUUAUACUAGGUUCUAACUCUGAGAGGAGGACAUUGUGUGGUGGGUAGUUUGACUGGGGUGGUCGCCUCCUAAAAAGUAACGGAGGCUCGCAAAGGUAUCCUCAGUAUGGUUGGUAACCAUGCGUAGAGCGUAUAAGUAAAAGGGUGCUUGACUGGAAGAGGGACGCCUCGAGCAGGAACGAAAGUUGGCUUAAGUGAUCCGGUGGUUCCGCAUGGAAGGGCCAUCGCUCAAAGGAUAAAAGGUACUCCGGGGAUAACAGGCUGAUCUCCCCCAAGAGCUCACAUCGACGGGGAGGUUUGGCACCUCGAUGUCGGCUCGUCACAUCCUGGGGCUGGAGAAGGUCCCAAGGGUUGGGCUGUUCGCCCAUUAAAGUGGCACGCGAGCUGGGUUCAGAACGUCGCAAGACAGUUCGGUCUCUAUCUAUUGCGGGCGUAGGAGUAUUGAGGAGAACUGACACUAGUACGAGAGGACCGUGUUGGACGUACCUCUAGUGUACCAGUUGUGGUGCCAACUGCAUUGCUGGGUAGCUAUGUACGGCAUGGAUAAGCACUGAAAGCAUCUAAGUGCGAAGCCGCCUCCAAGAUGAGUACUCCCUUAAGGGUCGUGGGAGAUGACCACGUUGAUAGGCGACAGGUGUAAUUGUAGUGAUACAUUGAGCCGAGUCGUACUAAUUACCCAAGAGCUUCUACGU